Long non-coding RNA from Mus musculus (house mouse), 589 nucleotides. RefSeq annotates it as predicted gene, 51647. NCBI's taxonomy places the organism in Eukaryota, Metazoa, Chordata, Mammalia, Rodentia, Muridae. The transcript has 3 exons. The record is from RefSeq and is a predicted model, not a curated record.
ACUGGAUAAGGAAGAGGAGCGAUUAAAAUCCACUUCCACGCCCUCCCACAGCCUCCCAGACCCCUCAGCAUCCCAAACUCUGUGGCAGGGAGAAGCUGCAGUUCUCUAGCUUUGCACCACUCACCAGCUGACCGGGCCUACUCGAGGUCAAGGAACAAGAGAAGGGGCACUAAUCCCUGAUGCGCCCCCACCCCAACAUUCCUGUAUCCCCAUUAUGGUUCCGUUUCUGCAUGAAACUCCUCUGAUCACUAACCCUGCUGGUCUAAGACGUGGUCUCUCUGUGCAGCUCAGGCUGGUCUUAACCAGCAAUCUUCCUGCCUUGGCCUGUGAGUGCUAAAUUACAGUGCUAGAAAUUGAACCAAGAGCUGGGUGAAUGCUAAGCAUAUGUUCUGCUUUUGAGCCCCAGGCAUGAGUAAGGUAUUGGUUUUGCUUCCUUUUUUGAAACCGUGUCUCAUUAUCUUGCCCAGCUUGGCUUGGAAGUCAUUGCAUAGCCCAGGCUUGCCUCCUGGCAAACCCCUCUGCCUCAACCUAAGCACUGAGAUUUCAGGCAUGUGCCACCAAGCCUGCUGAGUAAAGCACUCUCACCUUA